AUGAAGGCACCGUACAAGGCGGCGACGGCAUACCCGCUCAAUACCUGCAGCCCCCUAGUCCGGACAGGAAAAGAUGCUGAGCUUCUCGGCCUCGACGACGUCCUCGUGCCUCUCUCUAAAAUGGCAGAUCUGUUUGUUUCUCUGGUGGGACUGCAGUUCUUCCGAAGCUUUGCUUUUCGCUCGGCAAGAAACGCGGCAGCUGACGGGAGGAUGUACCGAGGCCUGCGGCGGACUCAGCAGGAUGGAAAGCAGCGAGCAACGGUGCAUAGUUCACGGAAGCCUGCUGUUUCUCCUCGCCAAGACCUAAGAUAG
This 312-nucleotide ribosomal RNA is filed under the name Triticum aestivum (bread wheat). Its description in RNAcentral is "partial small subunit ribosomal RNA". The record is from RNAcentral. Lineage: Eukaryota; Viridiplantae; Streptophyta; Magnoliopsida; Poales; Poaceae.